GUUGCCUACCUGGCUAAGGAUUCAAAUGAGAUUACAUGUGACCCUAGGUGAGGUGUUUUUCUUUGUUCCAGUGGUUCUUCAUGUCCUAGAAAUCCAACAGCAUUGAAUCUGUUCCCCGCAUUUCCCUGAUGGACACUCUUGGUCUACACACAGGAACCGUUCAUUCAUCCUGCUCUCUGGAGAUGGCGCUUCUUAGAUUCUUAACAACAACAUGGCUUAAAGAUAAAGAAAAUAGAACUUUGAAAAUAUAAAAUAAUGGUAACAUUGACAGACAUCUGGAGGAGGAGGAUGUAAGAUAAAUGUUAAAACACUGUUCCUUGGGGCUGGGGUUGUGGCUCAGCAGUAGAGCAUUUGCCUAGCACGUGUGAGGCCCUGGGUUCAGUCCUCAGCACCAUAUAAAAAUAAAUAAAUAAAAUAAAGAUAUUGUGUCCAACCACAACU
Molecule: long non-coding RNA, 441 nt
Filed under: Marmota monax (woodchuck)
Lineage: Eukaryota; Metazoa; Chordata; Mammalia; Rodentia; Sciuridae
Source: RNAcentral